Molecule: ribosomal RNA, 1314 nt
Filed under: Salmonella enterica
Lineage: Bacteria; Pseudomonadati; Pseudomonadota; Gammaproteobacteria; Enterobacterales; Enterobacteriaceae
Description: partial 23S ribosomal RNA
Rfam family: Bacterial large subunit ribosomal RNA
Source: RNAcentral
UUUAAGCGUGUAGGUGUGUGUUCCAGGUAAAUCCGGUUCACUUUAACACUGAGGCGUGACGACGAGGCACUACGGUGCUGAAGCAACAAAUGCCCUGCUUCCAGGAAAAGCCUCUAAGCAUCAGGUAACAUCAAAUCGUACCCCAAACCGACACAGGUGGUCAGGUAGAGAAUACCAAGGCGCUUGAGAGAACUCGGGUGAAGGAACUAGGCAAAAUGGUGCCGUAACUUCGGGAGAAGGCACGCUGACACGUAGGUGAAGUGAUUUACUCAUGGAGCUGAAGUCAGUCGAAGAUACCAGCUGGCUGCAACUGUUUAUUAAAAACACAGCACUGUGCAAACACGAAAGUGGACGUAUACGGUGUGACGCCUGCCCGGUGCCGGAAGGUUAAUUGAUGGGGUCAGCGCAAGCGAAGCUCCUGAUCGAAGCCCCGGUAAACGGCGGCCGUAACUAUAACGGUCCUAAGGUAGCGAAAUUCCUUGUCGGGUAAGUUCCGACCUGCACGAAUGGCGUAAUGAUGGCCAGGCUGUCUCCACCCGAGACUCAGUGAAAUUGAACUCGCUGUGAAGAUGCAGUGUACCCGCGGCAAGACGGAAAGACCCCGUGAACCUUUACUAUAGCUUGACACUGAACAUUGAGCCUUGAUGUGUAGGAUAGGUGGGAGGCUUUGAAGUGUGGACGCCAGUCUGCAUGGAGCCGACCUUGAAAUACCACCCUUUAAUGUUUGAUGUUCUAACGUGGACCCGUUACCCGGGUUGCGGACAGUGUCUGGUGGGUAGUUUGACUGGGGCGGUCUCCUCCUAAAGAGUAACGGAGGAGCACGAAGGUUGGCUAAUCCUGGUCGGACAUCAGGAGGUUAGUGCAAUGGCAUAAGCCAGCUUGACUGCGAGCGUGACGGCGCGAGCAGGUGCGAAAGCAGGUCAUAGUGAUCCGGUGGUUCUGAAUGGAAGGGCCAUCGCUCAACGGAUAAAAGGUACUCCGGGGAUAACAGGCUGAUACCGCCCAAGAGUUCAUAUCGACGGCGGUGUUUGGCACCUCGAUGUCGGCUCAUCACAUCCUGGGGCUGAAGUAGGUCCCAAGGGUAUGGCUGUUCGCCAUUUAAAGUGGUACGCGAGCUGGGUUUAGAACGUCGUGAGACAGUUCGGUCCCUAUCUGCCGUGGGCGCUGGAGAACUGAGGGGGGCUGCUCCUAGUACGAGAGGACCGGAGUGGACGCAUCACUGGUGUUCGGGUUGUCAUGCCAAUGGCACUGCCCGGUAGCUAAAUGCGGAAGAGAUAAGUGCUGAAAGCAUCUAAGCACGAAACUUGCCCCGAG